GACGAACGCUGGCGGCGUGCUUAACACAUGCAAGUCGAGCGGUAAGGCCCUUUCGGGGGUACACGAGCGGCGAACGGGUGAGUAACACGUGGGUGACCUGCCCUCAGCUCUGGGAUAAGCCUGGGAAACCGGGUCUAAUACCGGAUAUGACUCCAUGACGCAUGUUGUGGGGUGGAAAGCCUUGUGCGGCUGGGGAUGGGCCCGCGGCCUAUCAGCUUGUUGGUGGGGUGAUGGCCACCAAGGCGACGGCGGGUAGCCGGCCUGAGAGGGCGACCGGCCACACUGGGACUGAGACACGGCCCAGACUCCUACGGGAGGCAGCAGUGGGGAAUCUUGCGCAAUGGGCGAAAGCCUGACGCAGCGACGCCGCGUGAGGGAUGACGGCCU
RNAcentral lists this ribosomal RNA (387 nucleotides) under uncultured bacterium. RNAcentral's name for it is "bacterial SSU rRNA". It matches the Rfam family "Bacterial small subunit ribosomal RNA", at positions 28 to 417 of the family's 1533-position model. The record is from RNAcentral.